CCAAAGGGCAAUAAAAGACUGUCUGCCUUUUAAUCCAGCCAUAGCACUGUGGGAUUUGUACCCCAAAGAGAUAAUAAGGAAAAAUACAUAUACAAGAAUACAUAUGCAAAAAAUUGGAAAAUGAGGGAAUGCCCUUCAAUUGGGGAAUGGCUGAACAAAUUAUGGUAUUAUGUUGGUGAUGGAAUACUAUUGUGCUCAAAGGAAUAAUAAAGUGGAGGAAUUCCAUGGAGACUGGAAAGACCUCCAUGAAGUGAUGCUCAGUGAAAGGAGCAGAAACAGGAGAACAUUGUACACAGAGACUGAUACACUGUGGUCCAAUCGAACGUAAUGGACUUUUCCAUUAGUGGCAAUGCAGUGUUCCUGAACAACGCAGAGGGAUCUAUGAAAAAGAAUACUAUCCCCCUUCAGAGGAAAAACUGUUGGAGUAAACACACCAAAGAAAAACAACUGCUUGAUUACAUGGGUCGAGGAACAGCAUGUUGUGGUUCCAUGUUCUACUAAAAUUCUGAAGGGUCUCCUGUGUCAUCAAAUGUUUGACUACUCACCUGAUGGCUCCCGGCCCGACCCACCCCAGCGGUCUGUCUCUCACCCAUCUGGCCUCUGACCGAGACGGCUCAUCACCCCAGGCCCAGACCCAGGAGCAUGACCCCAGCCGGCUCAUCACCCAGAUCCUUGGAGUAGAUCACUCAGGACUCAUUGCGACCAGCUGGUCUUCCUCUGAAUGUAGAGAGUGUUCUUUCUCAUAAGUCCUUCAGAAUUGUCCUGGAUCACUGCAUUGCCACUCAUAGAGAAGUUCAUUACAUUCAAUUUACCACAAUAUAUCAGUCUCUGUGUACAAUGUUCUCCUGGUUCUGCUCCUUUCACUCUGCUUCAAUUGCUGGAGGUCAUUUCAGUUCAUAUGGAGUUCCUUCAGUUCAUUAUUCCUUUGAGCACAAUAGUAUUCCAUCACCAACACAUACCAUAAUUUGUUCAGCCAUUCCCUAAUUGGAGGGUAUACCCUCAUUUUCUAAUUCUUUGCCACCAAAAAGAGCACAGCUAUAAAUAUUUUGUAUAAGUCUAGUCCUCAUUUUUAAUACACUGAACCACCUAGCUUUACCCUAUUCUACUUCUAAAAGAGUUCUUUUCCUUUGUGAAUUUUUGUACCUCUUUUUCCAUUUGACUAGUUCCACUUUAUUUUUGCAUCUAUAGACAAGCCAAUCUUUAUAAGCCUCAGUUUCUUCAUCUAUUAAAUGAGGAAUAAGAAUAUUUCUAGUACCUUCUUUAAGUAGUUAUUAUCAUGGUCAAAUGAUAUAAUAGAGUUAAGGUGCUCCGCAGAUGUUAAAGUGUUAUGUAAAUGUCAGUUAUGGUCAUGGAGAUUUGUACUCAUAAAAUGAAACUUCUUUACUAUAAAUAUCUUAUACAUUGAUGAACAGAAGAGCUAAAAUAAUAUGAGCAGAAACAUUAUGAAAGACUAUUUUUAAGAGAAGACUACAGGAUCUUCAUAAAUGUAGGGAGGGGAGGCAUUGACAAGAGAUCUUUCAGCUGUUUUUUUUUUAAUUUGACCUUAAAAAAUUGAUUGUAUGUUCUAAUAGAGCUUAAAUAUCCAUUGUUUGGUGUCAACACCUUGUUUUUCUGUUUUUCAAGAUUUGGCUCAAAAAUAAUAUUGUAAGGAAAAGAUUAUUAUUUUAUGUUUAUAUCUUGCAAGAUUUUGCUUUCCUUGAAGAAUCAGAAAUAAGAU
Molecule: long non-coding RNA, 1717 nt
Filed under: Monodelphis domestica (gray short-tailed opossum)
Lineage: Eukaryota; Metazoa; Chordata; Mammalia; Didelphimorphia; Didelphidae
Description: lncRNA (ENSMODG00000038166.1)
Source: RNAcentral